Molecule: ribosomal RNA, 403 nt
Filed under: uncultured bacterium
Lineage: Bacteria
Description: partial 16S ribosomal RNA
Rfam family: Bacterial small subunit ribosomal RNA
Source: RNAcentral
GACGAACGCUGGCGGCGUGCCUAAUACAUGCAAGUCGAACGCAGUGGGGACGGGUGAGUAACACGUGGGUAACCUCCCAUCAGAGGGGAUAACACUUGGAAACAGGUGCUAAACCGCUACUGAUGGAUGGACCCGCGGUGCAUUAGCUAGUUGGUGAGGUAACGGCUCACCAAGGCCACGAUGCAUAGCCGACCGUAGAGGGGGAUCGGCCACACUGGGACUGAGACACGGCACAGACUCCUACGGGAGGAAGCAGUAGGGAAGCGUCGGCAAUGAACGAAAGUCCGACCGAACUACGCCGAGUGAGUGAAGAAGGGUUUCGGAGCGUAAAACUCUGUUGUUAGAGAAGCGGUAUCUAACCAGAAAGAAACGGCUAACUACGUGCCAGCAGCCGCGGUAAUAC